This 510-nucleotide ribosomal RNA is filed under the name uncultured beta proteobacterium. RNAcentral describes it as "bacterial SSU rRNA". It matches the Rfam family "Bacterial small subunit ribosomal RNA", at positions 67 to 571 of the family's 1533-position model. Lineage: Bacteria; Pseudomonadati; Pseudomonadota; Betaproteobacteria. The record is from RNAcentral.
CGGCAGCACGGGUGCUUGCACCUGGUGGCGAGUGGCGAACGGGUGAGUAAUAUAUCGGAACGUACCUUAUCGUGGGGGAUAACGCAGCGAAAGCUGCGCUAAUACCGCAUACGCCCUGAGGGGGAAAGCGGGGGACCGUAAGGCCUCGCGCGAUUAGAGCGGCCGAUAUCUGAUUAGCUUGUUGGUGGGGUAAAAGCCCACCAAGGCGACGAUCAGUAGCUGGUCUGAGAGGACGAUCAGCCACACUGGGACUGAGACACGGCCCAGACUCCUACGGGAGGCAGCAGUGGGGAAUUUUGGACAAUGGGGGCAACCCUGAUCCAGCAAUGCCGCGUGAGUGAAGAAGGCCUUCGGGUUGUAAAGCUCUUUUGUCAGGGAAGAAACAGCAGCUCUAACACAGUCUGCGAAUGACGGUACCUGAAGAAUAAGCACCGGCUAACUACGUGCCAGCAGCCGCGGUAAUACGUAGGGUGCAAGCGUUAAUCGGAAUUACUGGGCGUAAAGCGUGCG